Molecule: long non-coding RNA, 2666 nt
Organism: Megalobrama amblycephala (Wuchang bream)
Lineage: Eukaryota; Metazoa; Chordata; Actinopteri; Cypriniformes; Xenocyprididae
Exons: 3
Source: RefSeq, a predicted model, not a curated record
UAUAGUUCAAUCAUUAUUAAUUAUUAAGUUACUAUUCAGUCAUAAGCAACGAGUGAUUUCCCUGUCUUUUGUUGUUUGAUUAACAUUUAAAACACAUUCAGACAGCAGGAAUGCAAGGGCUGCUGUCUCUUUAAGACGCAUGUGUUCUUUCUCCAGUGUAUAAGUUCACUUAAGACAUAACCGACAAUGCUUACUAGAAUACUCGCUAAGACGGGCAUGUUGACAUAAUUUUGUGUGAAUUUGUCUAUUCAAGCACAAGACUUGAAAGAGACCUCUAUAUUUGCGCGCUGUACACGCGCUUCCGCGUGCGCGCUUCGGAUGAGUGCACAAAUCUUCUCAAAGCGCGCGCGCAAGUUCUCCUUCGCGUCUUGCACUCGGAUGUUUAAAUUGGCAAGGCUGAAAUGAGUUUAGUUUAAACGCAGACAACAACUUGUGCAGUUCAGGUCUCACCUGCAUAAGCUAUCAACACCCGGUGAUGGCGAAGUAAAUGACUGCUCAUAUAGAACAUGCGGCAUUCGCACUGAACAAAGUUUAGGGGUAGCCAGAAUGCAUAUAGGUGGUCGGUUCAUGUGCUCUCUGCGUGAACUGAAGCGGUACCGUGAUCUGUCACUCCACAGAGUGCUAAGAAAGAUCACGACAGCUCGAGAGACAUCCAUGGUCUCACUCCAGUAUGGGAAAGUAGUCAGUCACUCCUUGUGUUUUAAGAAUAGGCUAACAGGUGAGCCGAGGGAUAGCACAAAAUUACAUACAUCUGUAAAAUUACUACGCAAUAGGCAUGUGAAGUGAAUGAGUGUAAACUGAGCUCAGCGCAAAUCAAAUAGCCGUGCUGUUUGUCUCUCAGAAAUCAGAGCUUUGCAAAAAAAUUAGUCUAAUACAUCAAUAAAAUACUGCAUCAUAAACAUUUUCUACUAUUCGAUAUGUAUUUAAAUGAUUUAAACCUUGCGAGAUGAUAGAUGAAACACAAAUGGGCAAAAAGUAUGAAAUGAGCAGCGCGUUCGUAAAUCAAAUAGCCGCGUUUCUCUUGCGUCUCUCAGAAAUCAGCUUUGUCAGUAAUAGGCUGCUAUCAACUAAAACAGUACAUCAUCAUACACACUUUCUACUAUUCAAUGUCUACUUAAAUGUUUAAAACAUUGUACGAUAUGAUAAAUUAAUUAGUGUAAAUUAUAUGAAUGAAAUGAAGCACGCGAUAGCAAGUCAAGACAAAUGUAGGACUAUGCCUGCGUCCCAAUGUCCAUACUAUCCAUAAUAAAUAGUAUGUGAGAUUAAAAUAAGUGUGUCCCAAAGCGUAGUUUGUUGAAAAGAGUAUGCCAAGAGUCCCCGGAUGGUGUACUAUUUCCUGCAGAUUUUCUUGGUGUGGAUCCAUCGAUGCGUCCCAAUGUCCAUACUAUCCAUCCUAAAUAGUAUGUGAGAUUACAAAAAGUGUGUCCCAAAGCAUAGUAUGUUGAAAAGCGUAUGCCAAAAUUCCCCGGAUGAUGUACUAUUUCCGGUAGAUUUUCGAAGUGUUGAUCCAUGCACACUUUAUCGGCUCGUGUUUCCCAUAAUCUCUUGCGUUUGGGGGAGGAGUUUAAGAUCCAUAAGGUGAACAAACAUGACGGACGAACGUGUUAACAAUGUGAAUGUGUUAUCAUCAGCGUUUAAAUGUAAAAGUGCAUACAUUUAUAAAGCAGAUAGCCUAAUUUAUUGUCAUUUGUCACUGUUGUGCUAAUAUUAGGCCUAAUUAAAAUACGUCUUAUAUUUUGUAGGGUCAGAUGAACACACUGAACAUCUAAUUACUUGGCGAACUACCAAUGAUGCUGUUUUCACGGGCAAGAGAAACGCUGCUAUAAAAGGAUUCGAAACUUUUAUAGAGCAGAGCAAUCUGCAGGGAAAAGUGUCUGCUGCAUGGGUAAAAAAGAAAUGGGAGAACCUUAAGCAGAAGUACAAAGACCUUAAGUGUCCACAGACAGGGGUCAGCACAGAGGGUGGGGAAUCUACAGCAGCCUCCUGGAAGUGGUAUGGGGUGAUGGAUGCUGCAUUAGGGUGUAAGCCGUCAAUCACCCCACCACUGCUCAUCCAGCAAGGAUAUUGUCAAUAGUUCCUCAUCCCCUGUUGCUGGCCCAUCUGAUUUGGCACCAACAAACAGGAAGAGAAGAAGCGAAGGGGACCUUUUGACAUACCUAAAGGAGAUGGAAGAAAGAGAGGCAAAGAGAGAGGAAGAAGCCCAGCAGAGAGAGGAAAGAAGAACAAGAGAGUUGGAAGAGAGAGAGACAAGACGAUAUGAAGAGACAAAACAGAGAGAGGAAGAAGCCAGGAGGAGAGAGGACGAGUUCAGGGUGAGAAUGCUGAGGAGAGAGGAGAUGAGGGAUGAAGAAAUGAGACGGAGGGAUGCAGAGAUGAGGAGAGAAGUUGCAGCAAGAGAGGAGAGGUUCCUCAGUUUAAUGGAAGUCCUUGCCAAAUCACUUUCCAAAAAUGAUUGAUUUAUUAUUAUUUUAUGUUUUUUUUAUGGUUUUAUACAUUAUGUAUUGUUUUUUAUUAUUUAUUGACUGUUUUUCACCUUAUUUUUGCUAUGAAGUAGUGCUGAUGCUGAUACAGCACACAACAAAGUACUUUAAAGAAGUAUCUCAGUAUUUAAGUUAAUCUGUCUGAAAAUAAACAAAUUAACAGCUAUAAAUUUGCGGCUUUCUGUG